RNAcentral lists this long non-coding RNA (481 nucleotides) under Trifolium pratense (red clover). RNAcentral describes it as "long non-coding RNA (TPRA_LNC003688)". The record is from RNAcentral. Lineage: Eukaryota; Viridiplantae; Streptophyta; Magnoliopsida; Fabales; Fabaceae.
UAAUCUCCCGAUUUGAGAUUUCAGCUUGCCCAUUAGUUUGGGGGUGAUAUGCGGUAGAGACUUUGUGCACAACCCCAUACUUCCGUACUGCAGUUAAUUGGUGGACCUAUAGGAUAAAUGAGACUUAGAUUAUUGCAUGACCAAACCUUAAUCUUAGUCUUCCAAUCAUUCAAUCUUUUUGUGCUUUAUGCUUUUCUUAAAUUUCAACUCUUUGCAUGACCAAACAAAGGUUAAUUCAGGAAAAAGAAUAUUAAUCACGAAUGACCAAACGAAUUAAUAGUUUUAGUAAAUAGAUUGGUAAUUGAGGUAAAAUAAUGGAAUUCAAGUGGAACUAGACAUAGGGAAUCAAUGAUUGCGAGUGAAACCAUGACCCCUAGGCCUCUCUCUACUAGUUUACGACUUCACAUUUUUAUUCUUGUUCUUACUCGUACUCGUCAUUAUUUUCUCUUUAGUUAUCAUAAACAACUCAACUCUUUAUCCG